RNAcentral lists this long non-coding RNA (892 nucleotides) under Mytilus galloprovincialis (Mediterranean mussel). The record is from RNAcentral. Lineage: Eukaryota; Metazoa; Mollusca; Bivalvia; Mytilida; Mytilidae.
GUAAAUAAUUGUUGCCUAAUUCAUUUGAAAAGGUCUUCCCGAAUUGACUUGACGUACACAGAAAUAUUCGCCACUGGUCUUUACUCAAAAAACGAUUCACGCAUAAAUGUAUGACUAAAACAAGUGUGAGGUAAAUGAUAUGUUUGUCUAGUAUCUCAGAUCCAUUAAAUAACACGUAAAAUAAAUAUAAAAAAAACCGCUACCCUAUUCCUUUACCAAAUACUCCUUGGAGAAGAAAUACCAUUUGAAACGAACAGAAAAGAUAAAAAUGUAGUGAUCCCUAAUAUCUCAAUCCUUUUUUUUUCGGCUGUAAGCACGCUGUUGCAGCUAACGUUUUCUAAUGCGUUAUCGAGACUUCUCUUGUAUAUUCAAACUACUGCAAAUUAUAAAAAUGGCUUUCUUAAAGUAGCAACCACUUAACUUAAAAAAGGGGGAGAGUUAUUUUUUUUAUCUGAGUCAGAUUUUUUUUCUCGCGUACGUUUUUAUUCCUUUUUUUUCGAUACUGGUUAUCAAAUACUUUUUUUUUAAUAUUUAACACUAUAAUGUAUGGGGACACUCUUGAUUCAGAACAUUUUUUUUUUAUCAUCUGUAUGACCAUUUUUUUUAUAUCAAAUUGGAGAUCUUUCCAUUCCCACCCUCCGCCCCCAUUUUGAAGACAAUUGGUUGUUCCCUUACCGCUAGAAAAAAUUUCCAAAAAUUUUGAAUUCAGUUCUACGUAAUGAACAUUUAAAUGACAUAUAGUUUACAAGUGGGAACAAAUCUUAUGUACAGGUAGCUAAACAAGGUGUAUAGAUGUGAACAAAUGUAAUGUGAAACCAGUGUACACUACACUAAACUAAUUGUAAACAUGUUUACUCUACACGGCGUUUGGUGUGAACACGGCCUAAGUUUG